Molecule: non-coding RNA, 30 nt
Filed under: Mus musculus (house mouse)
Lineage: Eukaryota; Metazoa; Chordata; Mammalia; Rodentia; Muridae
Source: RNAcentral
UUCNGCACAGGGAUACUCAAGAUCUACAUA